UUCUAUAGGGCUGGGCACUUAUCGCAUCGCUUAUCAAUAUUGUGAUAACACACGUCCUAUGUGAUUAAAAUGAUAAACUGCUUUCAAAUGUCUAAAAAAAAUGAUAAUUUAGUUGAGACUAUUACUUCCAUUAAUGUCAAACUUAUCAUCAAUUCAACAAGAUAAAUAACUGCUGGUUUGUCUAAAUAGCACAUUUGCUAAGUAUAAUUUGCAGUAUUUGUAUUUGAGAGGCUGCAUUGAUAGAUUUGUAGGCAAAAAUACUAUCAUGAACUGUUAUCUUUUAUCAUAAAUCUUAUUGUUAUCGCAAAAAAUACCACAAAAUGUCGUGAUAGGAUUUUAAGUCCAUAUUGCCCAGUUCUAAUCUUCUAUUUAAUUUUAAUAUUUUUGGGGGCACAAUUAUUAAUUAUAUUGUUGAACAGUCUAGAAUUGAUUAAAGCAAAAUUGAAAGCUUUCACGUAAUGUCAAAAUUGAAAAGCUUCUAUUUUUGGGUUCAUAUAUUUGUCGAUCUGACUCAGAGUAGUCAGUGCCUUACCAAUCAUGAACCUCACUGCAUGUCACUGAUGUGAGUUAUCAAACAUUGCUUAAUCACUUAUUUGGAUUAUGUGUUAAUAUUUUUGACUUUGUUGUGUGAAGAGGUUGAAAAGAACCAAAUUAGGAAACUUCUCUCAUAUUGAGUUCUUAUCUCCACCAGAAUCCCAGUGUUGAUGUUCGACGGGAAUGCAUUCUGAAAGCUGUCUGUGUCUACUUAAAUGAAAAGCCAGAUGACCUGUUCAAGGAAUUUCUUGGAUGUGGAUCUUGGUGCAAGCAGAGCAAUGGAGCAGCUGACUUUGGGAGUCUAUGUUGUCAGACAUGAAGGAGCAAACUCUGCAGAAUUGCCUGAGGACAUUGGUGUCAUCAUAGAAGGAUGCACUGUGCUGCAAGCUCUUAGUAAAGUGCCAAGGGGGUGCGCCCUCCUGCUUGAACUAAUCUACAGUCUAAAUCUGAGCUAUCUAAAGCACCUGAAAUACACAUUUGAAUUUCUUCAGAAGGUGCUGAUGGAGUUGGAUAGGAACAACCUAUCCAUGAAGGUGUAGGUUCUGAAAAACAAACUGCUUGAGUGAAACAGCCUGCAAUGAACUAUGGAGGACACUGAACUGGUUUAAUGUUCUUGAGCUCUUCUCCUUACACUUUAAAAACCGUUCAGUUCGAAUUGCCACAAGAACUUCUGCAAGGCCUUUCACUUUUCUGUGUUCUUUGUUCUUGAACUUUUACCAACAUCCAACACUGAAAAAAAGGGAUUGGCCAACUCUUGGAUUUACGUAAACAUCUUGCGUGUAUUUAACAUAAGUGCCUCAUGCUUUAAAGUUAAGUGUAACUAUAUAGUGUAGAAACUACAUGAUAUGCAGAGAGGCUAGAUUAAAUUGUUCAUAUCAUGUUCGAGUGAAGUAAGUCAAUAACUUUCAGUCUCGUACGCUUUGGAUCGUGGUUUCAGGAAGGCAUCCAUCUCAGUCAAAUCGAGCAAAUUGGGUGGUUGUUACAUUAAAAAAGUCUAACUUGUAAUUUAAACACAAUAAUAUCAUGUUUCUAUAAACGUAAUUAAAUCAUGAAGGAUCUGUAUGAAAUUCAACAACUUAAUUUGUUCUUGUUGAGAUGACAUGAUACAAUCUAGUAAGAGUGGUUAGUUGCUGAACUCAUGAAAUUCACAAGAUCGCACGAGAUGUCAAACUGCUGAUUCUAAAUUACCUGUCAAUGUAAGUGCAAAUGGUUGUUUGUGACAGACUUAUGAGUUGUCCAGGGUGUACCCUGCCUUGUAACCUAUUACUUCAGGGUUAUUUCCCAGCCCCCCUGCAACCAGGAUAAAGAUAGGAGGAUGGUAGUUGUUGUACAUCCAUUCAAUUUUUAUGGUAACCAGGAUCUAGACUUUGUUGAACAUUACAUAAUAUGAAGAGAACAUGUAGUAUUUAAGUGACCAAGUAGUACUGGGGUAAAAGUUAUUGAAUAGUGUUGAAAUAAAAUGACAAAAUUGUGAAGGAUUAAAAUAUUCCAAGAGCUCAACUUACUUCAUCUAAACAUGUUUCAAUCGCGUUUUAUGAACACAAAAUGCACAGGUUUAUUGAAUAUGAAAAAGUUGUGUUGAUUGAACUCAGUUGUUUAAGUUUCUGCCAAAGCAAAAUAUUUGUGUGCAACCGAUGUCCACUAUUGAAUCAAGUAAAUCCAACAUGGCCUUUUUUUCAGUGAACUACACUGAAAAAGACUGCUACUAACUUUGGACUUCAGUUUAAGUUUUGAACAAAAGGUUUUUUUCUAAAUAUGUACAAAAAUGACACUAAAGUAAUUUCUACCUGCUGUUUGCAGGGCUGUAUUGUGGGCUUUUCAUUGUAGCCCAAUCAAGUUUAAAUUAAGUCAUGUUAAUGUUAAAAAUGUUGGAAUCAAAACACUUUCCAGUUUUAAUCAUUUCAGUUUAACAUGACAUUCUGUAUCUUGUCUUCCUGCACUUAAAAUGCACUUGAAUGUAUGUAAAGAUUGUUUAGGGAAAAAAAUCUUGAAGCAUUUGAAUUGCUCAAAGUUUGCUUCAACAAGUUUUACACGAAGGUGUUAUUAAAGUUAGGUUAACUGAACAAACUUCUGUUCAAUUUAUUUAAUUUACAAACUUAAAUAGAGUAAGUUGCAAUUUUGUUAAAGUGAUUUAAUC
This 2671-nucleotide long non-coding RNA is filed under the name Oreochromis niloticus (Nile tilapia). RNAcentral's name for it is "lncRNA (ENSONIG00000042924.1)". The record is from RNAcentral. Lineage: Eukaryota; Metazoa; Chordata; Actinopteri; Cichliformes; Cichlidae.